UUCAAUUUAAGCUGUUUUUAGACUAACAACAAAGUUUUGAGUUCAGAAUAUUACAGGCUGUUUUUAUAUUAUGGUGGAGAUUUUGUGGUUAUCGUCGAGCAGAAGAAUGGAACAAACAUACUAUUCAGGUCAUUAGCAAAUCACUUUUCAUUUGCUUAUACCACACAAUGGUCUUUACGAUCAACUUAAAGUACAAUGAUUUUUUUUGUUUUUGUUUUGUGUGUUUAAAGAAAGUGCAUUUUAUUUACUGCAGAUAAAACAAUCAGCUGUUUUUAAAGUCAAGACAGUCAUGGUCAUUUUCAGUGAGUACUGAAAACUAAUCGGCUUGUAGAAUAUCUCAGCUUUGUUCAGAUUAGUGGCAAAUUUGUAUCUGGUGUAUCUGAUUUAAAUCUCUUUAGUAUUUUGUAGUUGUAAAAAAAAGAAUACUGUGUUACCUAAGAACUGGAAAGAAAUGAAAAAAGAAAUAGAGAGGCUGGAUGGGAAAAUGAAAGAAUAUAUUGGAAAAGAUGCUUGUGAUGGUGUGUGAGAGUGUAUGUCAGUGAGCUCCAGAAUCUGACAAGUCAUGAGAGAUUGGCGUGAGGGACAGGAGAUGAGAGAAAUGGAUGGAGAGAUAUUAGAAGCUAAAGUAGAAGAGACACGAGUACAUGCACUCAAGCAUGAGAAUCUCGCUCUCGUUUCAGUUCAUUCAGUUCAUUUAUGACAGUGGCAGAAAUAACAUUCUCAGAAGUUCUCAGAAAUACCAUAAGCGACAGUCAGACAUUAGAUCUCCAGAUAAAGCUGGAAUUAAACUCUUGCAGAAGAACAGGAAGCUUAGUUCUGCUUCUGUCUGUGAGCCGACCCACUUAAGAUGGGACCACACAUACAAAGACAGUCAGAGCGAGCAUGAGACAUCACGCAUGGAUGUUAUGAUACACCAAAUGAGUCUCUGGGAGCGGCUGAGCGGUAGCUAAAACUGGGUCUGUGACAUCAUAAUCUUCUCAAAUUAAAGGAACACUUCUAUUUUGAAAUGUCACGCAUUUGUUCACCCUCAUCUCUAUGAUUAGGAUCUUUCUGUUGUCGCACACAAAAUGAGAUGCUUUAGAUAAUGUGAAUG
This is a long non-coding RNA of Cyprinus carpio carpio, 1093 nucleotides long. The record is from Ensembl. Lineage: Eukaryota; Metazoa; Chordata; Actinopteri; Cypriniformes; Cyprinidae.